RNAcentral lists this ribosomal RNA (854 nucleotides) under Serratia nematodiphila. RNAcentral describes it as "partial 23S ribosomal RNA". It matches the Rfam family "Bacterial large subunit ribosomal RNA", at positions 697 to 1552 of the family's 2925-position model. RNAcentral also lists the same sequence under 1 other name. Lineage: Bacteria; Pseudomonadati; Pseudomonadota; Gammaproteobacteria; Enterobacterales; Yersiniaceae. The record is from RNAcentral.
UAGUUGCAAGGUAUAGACCCGAAACCCGGUGAUCUAGCCAUGGGCAGGUUGAAGGUUGGGUAACACUAACUGGAGGACCGAACCGACUAAUGUUGAAAAAUUAGCGGAUGACUUGUGGCUGGGGGUGAAAGGCCAAUCAAACCGGGAGAUAGCUGGUUCUCCCCGAAAGCUAUUUAGGUAGCGCCUCGUGAACUCAUCUUCGGGGGUAGAGCACUGUUUCGGCUAGGGGGCCAUCCCGGCUUACCAAACCGAUGCAAACUCCGAAUACCGAAGAAUGUUAUCACGGGAGACACACGGCGGGUGCUAACGUCCGUCGUGAAGAGGGAAACAACCCAGACCGCCAGCUAAGGUCCCAAAGUCAUGGUUAAGUGGGAAACGAUGUGGGAAGGCAUAGACAGCCAGGAUGUUGGCUUAGAAGCAGCCAUCAUUUAAAGAAAGCGUAAUAGCUCACUGGUCGAGUCGGCCUGCGCGGAAGAUGUAACGGGGCUAAACCAUGCACCGAAGCUGCGGCAGCGACGCUUAGCGUUGUUGGGUAGGGGAGCGUUCUGUAAGCCGUUGAAGGUGGCCUGUGAGGGUUGCUGGAGGUAUCAGAAGUGCGAAUGCUGACAUAAGUAACGAUAAAGCGGGUGAAAAGCCCGCUCGCCGGAAGACCAAGGGUUCCUGUCCAACGUUAAUCGGGGCAGGGUGAGUCGACCCCUAAGGCGAGGCUGAAAAGCGUAGUCGAUGGGAAACAGGUUAAUAUUCCUGUACUUGGUGUUACUGCGAAGGGGGGACGGAGAAGGCUAGGCUAGCCGGGCGACGGUUGUCCCGGUUUAAGCGUGUAGGGGGUGUGACCUGGUAAAUCCGGUUGCAUA